UACGUAGGGGGCAAGCGUUGUCCGGAUUUAUUGGGCGUAAAGAGCUCGUAGGCGGCUCGAAAAGUCGGCGGUGAAAACUCGGGACUCAACUCCGAGGCGCCCGUCGAUACUGUCGAGCUUGAGUCCGGUAGGGGAGUGUGGAAUUCCUGGUGUAGCGGUGAAAUGCGCAGAUAUCAGGAGGAACACCGAUGGCGAAGGCAGCACUCUGGGCCGGCACUGACGCCGAGGAGCGAAAGCGUGGGGAGCGAACAGG
This 253-nucleotide ribosomal RNA is filed under the name uncultured bacterium. RNAcentral describes it as "partial 16S ribosomal RNA". It matches the Rfam family "Bacterial small subunit ribosomal RNA", at positions 524 to 776 of the family's 1533-position model. The record is from RNAcentral.